Molecule: long non-coding RNA, 14306 nt
Filed under: Brassica napus (rape)
Lineage: Eukaryota; Viridiplantae; Streptophyta; Magnoliopsida; Brassicales; Brassicaceae
Description: long non-coding RNA (BNAP_LNC000805)
Source: RNAcentral
UACUUAAGUCUUUUAUAAUUGUAUAAUCUCAGUUCAUCCUUCUAUUAAGCCCACCACCAUAAUCACUCUUUAUUUUAAAAAUUAAGAAAAUAACACACUAUAAUACAAGCUUGGCCCUAUUAAAAACUCAUUGUCAAAGAUACAUCCAUGAAAAUGCAAAAUACAGUUCCAGUUGCCUGCUUGCUUCUUUACAUAAUACUAUUCCUUCGCCACAUUUAAUUUAUUCAGAACUUUAUUUGGGAUAAAGUUGGAUUAUUCAAUUUAACGUGAAGCUUUUACCAAACCAAAAUAUACUUUAAUCUCAUUGUCAGACUUUGUGUUCUCCAUGGACACAAAGUUUAGUUGUGCAUCUCAUUUGACAUGGGUGCAAGAGCUUCGGUCAUGGUCCCUUUAUCUGACAUGUGUUUGUCUUGUCCUGAAACGAAAGGAGGACAAUGGGGACAGUUUGGUGGUUGGUAUAUAGGUGGAUGGUAGUAUGGCACGCUUGGGGUGCACCCACCGGUUUGGCAUCCUCCACCAGUACCAAAGCCAGGAACCGUCACUCCCGGAAUCGUAAAACCGGGAAUGUGGGUGCCUGGCACAGUUAUGGGAGGGAUUGUUGUGCCUGGUACAGUUAUGGGAGGGACAACUACACUGGGUACACCAGUAGAGCCACUUCCUCCUCUACCGAUACCAAUCCCUUCCCCUGAACCACUACCUCGUCCAAUGCCUUCACCAAAUCCCCUACCUGGGGCUCCCCUGACAGGACCGCAGUUAGGUUGGCCAUACCCUGACCCUCUUCCUUCUCCAAUGCCAACACCUGAACCAUCACCAUAGCCAAUUCCUUCUCCAAAGCCACUGCCUCCACUAGAGCCAAUUCCUUCUCCAAAACCACUGCCACCACUAGAGCCUAUCCCUUCUCCAAAACCACUGCCUCCACUAGAGCCUAUUCCUUCUCCAAAGCCGCUGCCUCCACUGCCAUAACCAACGCCAUAGCCAUAUCCCAUAGGCUUAACUGUGUGAUCAGGCUUCUCUAUGCCAUCAAUCUUCUCUUUGUCAUUAAGCUUCUCUUUGUAAUUAGGCUUGACUAUAUGAUCAGGCUUCUCUAUGUCAUCAAUCUUCUCUUUGCCACCAUCAUUAAGCUUCUCUUUGUAAUUAGGCUUUACUACAUGAUCAGGCUUCUCUAUGUCAUCAAUGUUCUCUUUGUCACCAUCAUUAAGCUUCUCUUUGUAAUCAGGCUUUACUUUAUGAUCAGGCUUCUCUUUGUCAUCAAUCUUCUCUUUGCCACCAUCAUUAAGCCUCUCUUUGUAAUUAGGCUUUACUAUAUGAUCAGGCUUCUCUAUGUCAUCAAUCUUCUCUUUGUCAGCAUUAAGCUUCUCUUUGUAAUUAGGCUUUACUAUAUGAUCAGGCUUCCCUAUGUCAUCAAUCUUCUCUUUCCCACCAUCAUUAAGCUUCUCUUUGUAAUUAGGCUUUACUUCAUGAUCAGGCUUCUCUAUGCCAUCAAUCUUCUCUUUGUCAGCAUCAUUAAGCUUCUCAUUGUAAUUAGGCUUUACUUUAUGAUCAGGCCUCUCUAUGUCAUCAAUCUUCUCUUUACCACCAUCAUUAAGCUUCUCUUUGUAAUCAGGCAUUACUUUAUGAGCAUGCUUUUUUUCAGGAUCAGGUUCUUCUAGCUCACGCCACAUGGAUUGCAGUUUAUGAUCAGGCUUGACCUUGUCCUCAGGCUCUUCUGGUUCACCCCACCACGCGGACUGCGGAUUAUGGCCAGGCUUGACUUUGUGGUCAGGUUCUAGACUGAACAAGCCAUGAUCUUGCUCCCUCAAACUAACCUUCCCAGGCUUCACUACAUGGUCUAGAUCCUUAAGAAUCCUGCGUGCGAAAGUUGAACUGAAGAAACAUAGUAAGAGGACAAAUCCAAAGCAUUUGCCUUGGUGUCCCUUUGCCAUUUUAUUUUCUAGAAAAUAAGUUGAUUCUGCUGUACAUUCCCGAGUAAAGAACCACCUCAUGGUUUUAUAGUAUAUUAGAUUUUACUUUAAACAAAACACAUCCCUUAAACGCAAAGUGCCUUUGCUGAAAAUACGCAAGAAAUAAAGGGAUUCACAAACUUAGCAUGAAGAAUAUUAAGGAGAUUUUCUGGGAUAACACAAAUUGUAUGUUUACCAACUUCAAGUUUUGAAAACUUAUUAAGAUGAUUUGCCCAACAAGAAAGUACUCCAUCCACACAAAAUCUUUGGAACAUGAUGUUAUUAUAUAUGACUAAAAGUUGGUAGAACCUUCAGCCAAAGCAUGUGCACUGUUCUGUAUAAACCUGAACAGUCAUAUGGUUAACAAACAAGGUAUGUCUAAGAUGAGAUGUGGAGAAAACAGAUUCUAAUCUCUAACAACAUUAACGGUUGCACAGCCCCAUAGAAUCCUCAUUGACCACUUGUAGCUAAUAACUCCUCUCUAAUCACCAGUAAAAACGCAAACUUUAUGACUGGAAAACAUCAAAAAGGAACAACAGUUUCAGGUUUUGUCAAAUACAAAACAAAUUUGAUAAAGAGUAAAAAUAUUGGAGACUUAGUCAACAAUAAACAAAACAUAAAGGACCUACAUACAAUAUAAAAAACCUUUAGACACUCCUCAGUCCUCAUGCAACCACUGACCAUGAUGUCUCGUUACUUAAACUGAAAAAUUGUUUGUCAUCGCUGGCAAAUUCUCUCUCUUGUCCCCUUCUUUCUCCGUUAGACUUAACAAGUUUGGUCCUUUCGAUAACCAAAAACCCAUUUCAGAGUCUCGAUUGAAUAGCCCUCCCUCCCUCCUCCUCCUCCUCUGUACGGCUCCGGCGUUUUAGGCAAAGCGAAAACUCUUUGGCAUUUCUGAUUUGCUGCAAAGGCAUUUCCUUUUGGUCUAUCUCCGCUUCAUUAUAGUUAAAAAUCCUGUCUUUUACAAGCCCGUGUUCUGCUUUUAGUUCCUAGUCAAAGAUUGAAACUUGAACACUGUUCACUCAGCAUUAUAGUAACUGAACAAUUUGUUUUGCAGUGUGAUUUUAGAAAGAAGAGAUGUCAAUGGUUGCAAGCUCUUCGCACAACGAUCAAGAUUCAAGAAGCUUGCAAGUGCUUCUCGAUGCUUUCGGCUCUCGUUUCUCUCUAGAUGACAUUACUGCUGCCUACCACGAAGCUAGUCAGAAUGUUGAUGUGGCUGGUGAGAUUCUCUUUGCCAUGACUGAAAAGACUACUGAGAGUGACCAAGUUGAAAAGAAUGAAGCAACUCAUGCCAAAGCCAAAGUAUUGAGGCCAAAAAAGAGUUCUGUAUCAGUUGGUAGUGUUUCAAGUGUUAUCGGUAAGGAGUAUGUUAGAACCAGACCUGUAUGUAAUGCUCGCCAAGAAGCGAGUAAACCGGUGAAAAUAGACUCAAAGGAUAUACCAGAAACUGAGAUGUGGUGUCAAGAAAGCAAGGAGGCAAUAAACAUAAGCAGGGCUCCAACUGAGGUUGAGGAGUUUAUUAUUAAGAUGCUUGGAGAAGGCUUUCAAGCUAGCCCUGAGCUCAUUCACCAGAUUCUUGGUAAGCAGAGUUCUCUUCUUUCUUUCCUUGAUUAAACUUCCUUUUCUUCUUUAAUGGUAUUCAUGAUGCUAAAACUUAUCUGCUUUUCCAACAAACUAUCAGGCGUAUGUGGCUAUGAUGUGAAGAAGGUAAGCCAGUUCCCUUAGCUCUGAGAUAAGUAAUGUAUUUUUGUUUCUUUAAUUUGCUUUUGCACAUUCCUUUGUAUUCAUCUUAUAAACAAAUAUAUUAUAUGUUUUACCUUUUCUUGGCUAAAUCUUAUUAUAUUUACACAUAUCUUUAUUUACACAUGUGACCUUUAUAGCUGCAUCACUCUUUUUUAUUUGAGUUACUUUGACAAUUCCUUUUUAGUGUCUUAAUACUAUUUGCUGGCUAAAGUUUGAGAUAAAAUUGACUUUUCAGUCCUACUGUCUCCUCUAGUUUUGUUCACUUGAUUGUCUCCUCUAGUUGUGUUCACUUGAUUGUCUCCUCUAGUUGUGUUCACUUGAUUGUUAUUGGUAUCUCUAUAGCUCUUGGCAUAUGGAUCCUGUGGGUAUUUCUUGGAUCUUUGUGUGUUUAACUUCUUCUUUUGUGGCAUCCACUCUAUUCUUUAAUUAUAUUGCAGAGUACAGAGAAGCUACUUGACUUGUCUGAUACCAAGAAGCUUGCUGAUGUUGGAAUUUCCAAUGAACUUGUGAGCUUUUGCUAUAUGACAUUCAGUUUUGGUGGUUGUUAUAGAAUGUUUUUCUACUAAAUCUGACUCUGAUUGGUUAACUUGGUCUAUCAUCUUCUUCUUCAAGAUGUCAAAAGUCGAUUCUCAAAGACAGGGAUCUACAUCCUGCAACCAAGUGGAACUUUCUCAGGGGUACGCUUUUUUCUUGUCAAAUCUUUGUACAAAAUCCUUCCCCUUGGAAAUUGUUUUGAUCUCUUUCUCUCUCUGUGAUGAUACACAGUGAUGGAGCAAGAAACUUAACAGGUUCACAGGAAGGAGGUAAAGACAACUCUGGUCUUGAAAAGGAGGUUUUAGAAGCUUUGUUCUCGUGUCCAGAAAGAUAUGAGGAAGUGCCAAAACUAACUCGGCGAUUUAGAGAAAUGAGAGGAAGAGCUGCUGGUCGUCCUGUUAUUAAACCUCUGGAAGACCCUUUUCAAGAGGGAGUUGUCACUGUGAAACAAUCGUCACAUACAUCUAAACAAGGUAAAACCGUGUCAGAGUCUUUACAUGUACGUUUAUUUGAGUUUAAAUCUCAAGAGUUUACUAAACUAUCUCUAUGUCUCUCACUUUUGAUAGAUGAAGAUGAUGAAAAUGAAUACAAGGCUCAUCGUAAAGCAGUGCACGAGAAUUUGCAUGAGAUGAAAGAAUACUACGGAGCUGUAAGUCUUUGAGAUCAUAAAGGAGUCAUGUGAUUGUUGCGUAAGUAAAACCUCUUUCUCUUUGGCAGGCGGUAGAAGCAUUCUCCAAAGGAGAAACCGAGCGAGCACAGAGACUAGUGGAAAAGGUAAAAGAACUUUGUGGUUGAAUGUGAUCUCUCUGUCGUUCUUGUGUUAACUAUUUGAUAUCUUCCACAAUACACAGGGACACUUCUUCGGACAAAAAGCUCGGGAAGCUGAUGACAAAUCCAUAGCAAAGAUGCUUGAAGUCAAGUGGGUUUAAUUUCACAACCAUUUAUUUUUCAGUCUUGUACUUUAACUUUGGCAAAAGGUGUUGAGAAAAUUCAAAACCAUGUUAUAGGGAAGACAAUGUUUCCACUUAUAAGGAAGAUGAGGUAGUAUUAGUGAAUGUGAAUGAGCUCGAACCAAGGGAAGCUCUUCGUCUUCUCAAACUCCAACUUAAAAACUUCACUGGCAUUCCAUGUACGUUUUCACUCUCACUAAACCAUUUUUGUCUUUAGCAUAAACGAAUCUAAUCUGUUUUAUGGAUUAUGAUUCAGCUAUCAAAUGCCUGAGAGUCAAAUUAGGUGACAACAAGGAAGAUUCCAAAUGCAAACGAAGGGUACCUAAUAACUAUCUUUGCUCAUAUAUCUUCUUCAUCUCUAAAACGAACUUUGAGUUGAGUUGGUUCACUUUGUUUUCUUAGCAUACUGCAAUUGCAAAGCUGCUGGAGGGUGAAUCCAUUGCCUGGUCUAAAGAAGAUGAUGGCCUCGUGUUGAUGAUUCGUAUUGAUGAGAUUGACCCUGAGAAAUUGAGUUUUGCCAAGAAAUAAAAACACCAUUGGUUCAUAUCCUUUUGCUUAGUUCCACUACAAAAUUUGACUAUGAUGUUUCAAACAAUAUUCGUAUGUAACAAAAGCAAAGAAGCAUUUGGCAGAAAUAUAAUUUUUUGGUUUAUCAAGUCAUCUGACAUUAUUACAAUAUGCUUAUAAUGUUUUGGGGUGAAUCAUACGGCACACUCCACACAAAGGUGGCCAAAAUUACUCUACCAACAUUGGGAUAUCUGACUUGAGAACCUGUGUUUGCCAUUCUGAAUCAGAUAGGUUCGGCACUGCACCAUCAAACAAACAGUUUUUAAAUACUAGAUCUCUCAAAACCAGAGAUGGCUGUUUUAUGCAAUACUGCAUUUUCUCAUCGCAGCCACUAAGUCAUGGUUCUGUUUUUGAGUUAUAUUGAACCCUAUGCUGAAAAAAUAAUCAAGUUCUUAUCACAAUACCUUGAGGAACAGUUACAUUGCUUUUAAUUCUAUAUAAUUCAAGAAAAAAAAAACUAUAGAAUUCAAGAAAGCAUUCCUCCUUAUAUGAUAUGUUUCAAAGUUCAGAUCUAAGAGAGUCUUCAUUGAAGAUAUCUCAAUGAUUUUUUCAACAUUAAAGUAAUAAAAAAGAAUGAGAUGAGUAUAUUAGUCUCUACAAUAAAAUUUAAGAUACUCUUCUACACUUAGCCUCAUACCAUUAGUCUCUUUAUUUUUAUGACUUAAAAUUUAACUAAACAAUCAAACUAUAUUGAAUAUAUUACUAUAUAUUUGUGAGAUACUCAACCGAGUUUCUCACCACUAACGAUGCUUUAAAAGUUCUACUUUCAUAUUCCAAUCCUUAUAAAUUCAGAGUUUCACAUAAGUGAUUCAUGAUUCUGAAAGACAAAAACAGAUUCAAUUGUAUAGAAGAAACAUCUAAUAACUAUCAAGGAGUGUCUUCAUCAUCACCAUGUGAUAAUUCUACUCAUGUUCAACCACCAGAACUCGUUUCUAAAUUUAUCCUAAGAAGUUGGAUAUUCUUUAUUCUCAAGACGUUAGUCCAACGAAAGCAUGUCUUAUGGGUAAUUCUUCGGAUCUUAAUCCACAAGAUGGUUAAAGAACCAUGAUCUCAAUCGGCUCUUUUUCUCUCGAGGUAUCUACAAGAUAAACUUGUUAAUAAGAAAGUGAAACUCAUCGCUAUAUGUGUAUAUCUUUGGAAAACCCAUAUUAAAGAAGAUAUUGAAGAGGUUUAGAAGGAUGAAUAAAAAUUUGGUUUGUGGAUCAUCUCUUUCUUUUCUCUUAUUGUAGCUUCUAUUGUAAUCGUGUGGGCGACAAUUAUGUACAUUGAGCUGACAUUAUGUCUCACAAUCUCCACUUGUGUCGUGUUUGGACUCUUACCUUCCUUCUUCUAAUCUAGAUUAAGAUUGCUUUGGUAAAAUUAGAAUUUUGAAGGAGUCUGAUAGUGUUGUAGGACCAUGUAUCAUAUAUGAAAUAUUUUAUGUACAAGAAAAACACAUGUGGUUAGAGUUGAAGUAUAGAUCUGAGCUGCUUGACUAUAAUUAUUGGUAGUGUUACUAUUGUUAUGUAGUUUGAUACCAUUACUUCGGUAAAUAUGACAAGGAGAUAGUCAUCAAUAAAAGAAGUUUGUGUAUAAAUAUAGAAAAUAUAUAGAAAAAUAAAUGGUCUAAACUCCCUUGGAAUGUAAACUUGAUGCAAUCUGUUACCUCUAAUUUUAAAGAGAAUUCGUUUUUGAAGUCUAAUAUGUUUGUUGAUGUCCUUGCAAGAUAUUAAUAUUUAGUUUCCGAAGUCACCUUAUAAAGGUCGCAACACCUACAUUUAUUUUCCUGAAAUUAUUAGACAAGAUGGCCUUAGUCCAGAAGGAAAAACGUUAUAUCACAUACGGUUCAUGACAAUUUGUAUCACAAUAAUUAUGUAUAGAAUCAGCCAAAGUGCUUGAAAAAACGAGCCAUGAAUUAUACUCUUCAUGCCGAGAUUAUAAUUCCUCAUCUACCACUAUUUGGCCAGUACUUAUUCAAAUCAGGCUUGUUUGAUGUGAAUGAAAAGGUUGGAGUAUGCUUUCUACAAAGUAGUGGAGGUAGUUACAUUGUGUGGUACUAGAAGACAUGAAGAAGAACGUAUGGUCUUCAAUCCUCAUUGAAACUUUUCAAAGUAUCCUAGACCAGCUCAGUCACUUCUCUACUUAUCCUUUGAAGGUUUUACGAGAGCUGGAGAAUUUGUAUUCGCUAAAGUAGAGAUAAGAUCCAUUCUAUCUCCACUGUCACAACCCUGCUACAAUAGUGACUCGAAAAGAACUCAUCCAAAAGUCUACAGCUUGUGCAUGUACACUGAGAAGAAAUAGUUUUUGGAACCAUAGAAAGAUCUCUUGAUGUUCACCUGAGGAUGAACAUACAUUAGUCAAACAGAAGAAACAGUUAGUAACUGUAGCUAACUGCGCAUAUAGUGAUUUUUUUUUAACUAAAUAAACAUUGUACAACACUUGACAACAACAAUGAUUUUUUUAAAAGCCAAUAAUAAUUUUAAUUUUCUGAUCCAGAUCACAACUUGGAGAGUCCUUCAAGACAAUUAUAUAUGUUGACUACACAGAACGAUGGCAACGUUUUUUAGAUUGGGUUAAGUACAACCAAAAUCAACAAAUUUAUUGAGCUUUGUUUGUAUUGCAGAUACUCUAUAGAAAAUAUGAGUAAGUUCAUAGAUUUUCCUUCCCGUAUGUCCAUUCUUGUGUAUGAUUAACGAUUAGUUAGUGAAAAUAUUGGUCGUUUCAGUGUAGCACAUCGAUUCGACUAGUUAGGUGGUAACAACUCCUGUGUAGAAACAUAUUAAGGGAAGAGUCACUCGUUCUGUGUCUGAUUUAAUGAUUUAACAAUGUAUUUUUUAAAAGUGUACUUUAGAAUACAAUGAUGUCCAUGGCUCUUUCGAAUGAAAUUCGUAAUGUCUUAUGGAGUUUGGAUGAGUUCUAGCUAGGAACGAAAAGUGUGCAUUACAUGUAGAGAAGCAACAAAUCGACAUGACAAUCUCAUUGUUUAAGCAUAUGUAGCAGUAAAUCUAGAUGUGCUGCAUCAUCUUGAUUCUACUUCCCAAUUUUGUUUUCUUGGUUCCAGUCAGACGAGGAGAUGACACCAGUUUCCAUCAUUGUGGAGGAAACAUUUCCUCUACUUCUGAUUAUAUUUAGCGAUAUUAUACAGAUCAAAAAUCCUCGUAGAGUUUAUGAAGCUGAUAUGCAAACUAUUUUGGUCAUCAGUAUAUGUAAGUCUGCAAUGAGAGUAGUUAGUUGUGCUUCUCUCGGCAGGCAUUAUACUUUUGUUGUUCCUAAAUUUAAUUCCCUAAAGUACAAUUCAAACCAUAUCAAGUGUGUGUAUAAUUUAUUAAUCAAAGUGAAAGAUGCAGGAGAUGGAAUCCUAGAUAAGUGGUUCCAACUCCACUUGUGACUUUUUUUUUUUGAAACACUACUCCACUUGUGAUCCAUGUCUCUGUUUUCUUGUAUAUGAUUAUCACUUGCAUUGCAUGAUGUCUUAACAUAUUAGCAAUUAGCAAAUUUUCUAGUCAAACAGACUCCUAGGUUGUAGCGUGCAAGCCGCUUCAUUGAGGCGAACACAGGAAGAAAAGGAAUCUCUGGCGAUGCUUCCUCUCGAGCCAAGUAAUAGGAAGCAACAGAACCAGUAAUCACUGUAGCAGAAGAUUCACUGAAGAACUGUGUGUCCCAGUAACAACCAAAUCGAUGGAAGAAUAUAGCAAUGGUGAUGUGAGGAGUGUAACGAAUGCUGUAACCGCAACAACUGUCACAGAUCACUUUCUUUAAGACGAGAUUAUGUUGUUGCAGUUGUUCUGAACAACCUGACCAGAACUGAAUAGAUGGAGAGCCGCCGAUAGCCAGAACAUAUAGAAUAUAGCGAGCAUUGCGUAUGGUAUAGCCGGAAUAUAAUCAGCGCUUGCACUUCUCCUAUUACUUUAGCAGCUGCCUGGAAGAAUAUCACAAGCAUACACAACAACAACAUGACAUUUCAUUAGGAAAAGCCAAACUAGUUAUUACACUACUAAGAAGCUAGUAGUCACCUUGAGGACUGAUGUUGCCAUGAGAAUACAUACGGUGGAUGAUGGCAACUGAAGUGAGGAUAGCUAUAACUGAGAUAAAAGUCAUCAGACUGGCGACUCCACGGACAUGAGUCAGCUCCUGUGAACAAGCAAAUGUAAAUAAGCAUGUAGAAGUGUGGGACUAAAGGCAGUGAUGUGCCAACCCUCUCAGGGGCCCGAGGCAAAUACGAUGACUUAGCAUUAGAUUUUUACUAUAAAAAUUAUUUAUAAUCAAAAUAUUAAUUAUAUUGUAAUAUAAUAUAAAAUGCUAAUGAAAAAUAAAAUAAAAUAAUAUUAAAAAUGAUUAUAGUAUUUAAAUGAUUUCACUUUUUAUUUUUUAUAAAGAAUUUUCUUUUUCUUUUUUAAGAUAUGUUUAAUAUCUUAAAAAUUAUAAGGAAAACAAACAAAAGGCAUUCUAAUUUAUAUAUGUUAAAAUAGGAUAAAGUAUGCUAACCAUCAACAUUCACACCACUAAAUUAAAAAAAAAAUAUUUUAAAUAGAAAUACAAUUUUCUGGUAGAAACAAAUUUGAGAAAACAAAAUUAACUAAAAAACUUGAACUUAAACAAAUAAAAGGUUAUUUUCUUUUAUAUAAUUUUAACAAAAAAAACUGUUUUUUGUAAUUUUUUGGUUUUGAGUUCAAGAAGAAAACAUACGUUUAAACAAUUUUCAAAGAUUUUCUUAGAGAUUUGGGACCCUAAUUUUUGUAAAUUAUGUGGGGGCCUAAGGCUAAUGCAUUUUUGCUAAUACUAUAGGUACGCCUCUGACUAAAGGUCUCAUGGAGUAAUGAACUUACACUCUCAUAAUGGGUCAUGCUCACCAAUAAUUGGUGUUACAGCAUCAUCCAUCCAGCUACAGAAGAUAGAAACGUAAUACAUAUAUUGAGUUAUUAUGACGAGAAAAUACUGAGACAGACAGAAGAAACAUGAUUUUCUCAAACCAACCUUUCAAGUAACAGAAGAUAGUCAGUCACUGAUAUUAAAAGCAUGUUGAAAAGGACAACGGUUAUCCAUGGCAUGGCAGCAACAAAAUGCCGAAUAAGAAGCAGCCAAACAACGGGAUUAGAAGAGCGGGACAAUGCCUCCACAAACAAUCAAUACUGGCCAUGACUUGCCAAUAUCAGCAACAUAACGCUGCCAUUGAACAACCAAACAUUCUUCAAUGUUCCAAGAACAAGUUUGAAAGUAGAAUCUACAUGUCAAAGAGAGAAUAUUAUCAUUUCUCUGACCUUUACAACCGAGGCACGAGAAUCCAAUGACCUUCUAAUCGAUUUGUCUAUGAUCAUGUCAUCUUGAAUGUUCACACCAUUCAUCUUCUGCCAGUGGCUCAGUGAUAAGUUUGAAGCACGAGCAAUAUAUUGGCAGCUCCAAUAAACUACAAUUAAAAGAUCAAAACUCAAAUAAAUAAAUAGAUAAAUAAAUAAAUAAAGACUUAAAGCUUUGUGAAAUGUGAAUAUAUAAUGCAUACUUACCAUUCACGCUAGGGAAGAUUAGAGGGUAACAAAGACCCUGAAGCUGAAGAGAUGAGUUCCUCAUUUCAGGAGUAAGAAACACUCAAAGUAAUCAUAAUUCCUGUCUGCCCAAAAUCACUCAUCUUGAGACGAAACCAACCAUUUCCAUCGGCCUUAUAGCUUACUCGGGCUUUAUAUGGAAUUGAACUGAAAUCAUAUGUACGUAAUAACCAAACCAAACUCGGAAAUAAGCGUGGGACCCACAAAUUAAAACUGUUGACGUGGACUCUCUUAGAAGAGAAAAAAAUCUAUUUUAUAUAUAUAAAUUUCGGUAUUAAAAAAAAAGAAGAAAAAAAAAAUCUAACAGUUUCUCGUUUCUUAAAAUGGCUUCUGCUGUCGACGUUCCCGCCACCAUUCAAGAAGACGAUGAAGUUGUUGCCAAGAGCUUUCUAGCCCUCAGCUUCAUCUCUCAAGAGAGAAAGAGAAAGAACGUAAAUAUUUCUCAAGAACGCAACUGUUUCACAGAAUGGACUUCAUCAAUGUUCUCGCCAUCCAAGAAGAAGAUGAACACACAAACGACGUUUCCAGGAAAUUUUUGGCGAAGUGGAACAAGUCUCUCCUCCACAUAUAGAAAGACUUUAUUCAUCAACUCCUUGUGAAACUUCCACUAUUGUUUGAUCACCAGAGCUAGUUCGAGAAUUGAUCAUGAGAGGUUGGAGAUUAUCUAUUAUCGAGAGAUCAAUCAAUAUUGAUUUGUGGGUUAUUAUUCUGAUUUUAAUCUAGAAGAAGGUUAAAGAGCAAGAAUUCAAACUGUUGUGUGUCUCUUAAUGUAUCUCCAUAAUGAAUUUGUUAACAAAGUGAGCUCGUUGCUCUAUGUAUUUGUCUUGAAAUAAUGUUAGACAAUGCAAAUAAAACCAAUGUCAAAGAAGAUUCCGAAGAAGUUAAAGAGAAGAAAACAAAUAGAGAGAUUCAAGAAGUUAAUUAAUAAUGAGAGUAGCUUUUUAAUAGCAAAACUGAGAUCUGUUUUUGGUGAACUUAGAAUUCUGGAAACUCAUAGAGAUAUGGGACCAUAUAUCAUAUAUGAAACUUAUGUGUACAAGGAAAGCACUGUACGGUUGGAGUUGGAGUAUAGAUUUGAGCUGCAUGACUAUAUUGAUUGGUCUGAUACUAUUGAUUUUGUAAAUAUGAUAAGGAGAAAAUCAACUGCAAGAAAAGUCAUUUUAUAUAUGAUUUCGUUAUAAAAAAUAAAUAAAGAAAAAACUGACAGUUUCUCAUUUUUUAGAAUGGCUUUUUCUGUCGAUGUUCCCGCCACCAUUCAAGAAACAAUGAAGUUGUUGCCAAGAGCUUUCUGGGUGAAGUUUCUUUCAACUCCUGAGUCCACUCUUAUCAUUAGAGGGUGGAGAUUGUAUAUCAUAGAAAUAUCAAUCCGAAGAAAAAUUUCCUUGUGUUUGAUUCUUUGGAUAUUAUACAAGAAGGCUAAAGAGAAAAAAUAUGCAGGUGUUCUCUGUCUCCUGAGGUAUCUCAACAAUGAACUAGUUGACAAAGUGAAGCUCGUCGCUAUAUGGGUUUUUCUUGGGAUGAAUGCAAGUAAAACCCAUGUCGUACAAGAUUCUAAAGAGAUUAAGGAAGAGUAAACAAAUCGUGAGAGAUUCAAGAAGGCAGCACGUAGCAAUAACGUUUCAAGAAAAUCAAGAAAUUGAAGAGGUUCACGUGAGGAUGAACAUGAAGCACCUCCACUUGAAGACAUUACAAAGAAUCUAGAGGUUUUGUAACUAAACAUGUCUAAGAAUCUUGUUUAACAAAAAAAAAAGCCUCAAAACAAAAAGCAAUAUUUAGAUACAAAACCUAAUUAAACAUUAGAAAGAGAAUAAUAGUUAACGGUUGAAACACUUUUGUCUCCAGUUUUUAGCAUAAUUUCAAAGAAGUUAACCCAAAAGAAAAAGAUGCGCUAGACAUCAAUGAUGACAAUAUGAAUAUAUUGUAUCUUCAUACUUGAUAAUUAUAUGAAUAUAUUCUUUUCUAAAUACAGUAGUUUAAAAACACCUAAAUUAUAUGUAACAAAAGAUGAACCUUGAAAGUCAAAAUGGAGACCUUGUAAGGCUUGUAUCGUUAAGACUUUUUAACUCACUUCUCUAUUAGGUGAUAGCAACUGUACAAAUGAGAGUGCUUAUCAAUAAAGACAUGUCAUAUAUAAGAAAAAGAGGAUCCAUGAUAAUAAGAAACGGAUCAACCAAGUCCUCUGUGUUCUGUUAACAUUGAAGAAAUCUCGCCUAAGAAGAGCUUCUUAAGCUCCUUAAAAUAAGCAAAAGGAUCAAAUAAGAAAAGGAAGCUCAAUUCGAAGACAUUCCGCCUCUCGGUGAUCCGUUACUGCUCUCUGCAACGUCAAUCUCUGAGGGUUUGUCUUCUUCAGGUUCCAGACCAAGGACACCUAGAAGAAUGAACUCCUUCAACAGAAGCGUGUCCACAGUGAUACCCACAUCUUGGCUAAACUUCUCAGAGCAUCUCUCGCUACUCUCUUCCCCUUCUUUAACCUUUCCCCUCACCAAAGAGGCCACCGGAGCUCCGUUUCUAUAAGCAGUACACGCCCUCAACACGUCGUGAGCACAGCUGAAGAAAUGCCCAUACGAAAAGUCUUCAAAAUACUGUAAAAAUCCAACAAAACACAUCAAGAACCAUCACAAGCUCAGGUUUCUCCUCAAUGGAUGAGUUUUAAGUUUUUUUUGUUACCUUGGGUGGUCUCCUCAUGUUGUAAACCAUCGUCUUCAAAGAAAGUAAGAAUGUGUUUUCGCUGUAAGCUUUAGAUUGGGCCUCACCGCCUGCAGAACCCGCUGUUCUCUCGUAGCCAGGCUCGUUGAAGUAAGGCUUUUCAUUCAAGAUUAGACCUUGGAUCGAGACAAGAACCUGUAGCAUUGUGGAGUUGUUGGGGAUCCACUUCUCCCUCGGUGCACCACUCCAAGUGCCGAGAAGACUCAGACACACUUUCCCACAGUUGUACAGAUUUGGGUUGAUUCUUAGCCCACCAGACUGGUAAUGAACCAUCUGAACAAAACCGAAAAAACAAAAAAAAUUCAAAAUCACAAAAGAGAAGACAUUAGGAGAUAGACAACAACUUG